AGAGUUUGAUCCUGGCUCAGGACGAACGCUGGCGGCGUGCCUAAUACAUGCAAGUCGAGCGGAGUUAUGAGGGAGCUUGCUCCCGAUUAACUUAGCGGCGGACGGGUGAGUAACACGUAGGCAACCUACCCUCUAGACUGGGAUAACUACCGGAAACGGUAGCUAAUACCGGAUAAUUCCUUUGCCCUCCUGGGCUUAGGAUGAAAGGCGGAGCAAUCUGCUACUAAAGGAUGGGCCUGCGGCGCAUUAGCUAGUUGGUGGGGUAACGGCCUACCAAGGCGACGAUGCGUAGCCGACCUGAGAGGGUGAACGGCCACACUGGGACUGAGACACGGCCCAGACUCCUACGGGAGGCAGCAGUAGGGAAUCUUCCGCAAUGGGCGAAAGCCUGACGGAGCAACGCCGCGUGAGUGAUGAAGGUUUUCGGAUCGUAAAGCUCUGUUGCCAGGGAAGAACGUCCGGUAGAGUAACUGCUACCGGAGUGACGGUACCUGAGAAGAAAGCCCCGGCUAACUACGUGCCAGCAGCCGCGGUAAUACGUAGGGGGCAAGCGUUGUCCGGAAUUAUUGGGCGUAAAGCGCGCGCAGGCGGCUAUUUAAGUCUGGUGUUUAAACCUUGGGCUCAACCUGAGGUCGCACUGGAAACUGGGUGGCUUGAGUACAGAAGAGGAAAGUGGAAUUCCACGUGUAGCGGUGAAAUGCGUAGAUAUGUGGAGGAACACCAGUGGCGAAGGCGACUUUCUGGGCUGUAACUGACGCUGAGGCGCGAAAGCGUGGGGAGCAAACAGGAUUAGAUACCCU
RNAcentral lists this ribosomal RNA (800 nucleotides) under uncultured bacterium. RNAcentral describes it as "bacterial SSU rRNA". It matches the Rfam family "Bacterial small subunit ribosomal RNA", at positions 8 to 788 of the family's 1533-position model. The record is from RNAcentral.